Molecule: ribosomal RNA, 482 nt
Filed under: uncultured bacterium
Lineage: Bacteria
Description: partial 16S ribosomal RNA
Rfam family: Bacterial small subunit ribosomal RNA
Source: RNAcentral
GACGAACGCUGGCGGCGUGCUUAACACAUGCAAGUCGAACGCUGAGGCUCAGCUUUCUGUGUUGUUGAGUUACCAACGGGUGGGUAACACAUGAGUAACCUGCCCUCUUCUUUGGGAUAACGCCCGUAGACGGGUGCUAGUACCUGAUAUUCACUGAUUCUCGCCUCGUGGUUGGUGGAUAGGUUUUGUCUUUUGUGUGAUGGGCUCGCGGCCUAUCAGCUUGUUGGUUGGUUGAUAGCCUACCAAGGUUUUGAGGGGUAGCCGGCCUGAGAGGGUGACCGGUCAAAUUGGGACGGAGAUACGCCCCAGACGCAGACGGGAGGAAGGAGUGGGGAAUAUUGCACAAAGGGCGAAAGCAUGAUGCAGCGACGAGGGGUGAGGGAUGGAGGCCUUCGGGUUGCAAACAUCUUUCGAUAAUGGUCAAGCAGCAGAUUUGGGUUGUGGUGAGGGUAGUGGGUCAAGAAGCGCCGGCUAACUACGUG